GCACGGUACGCCCUUGAAAUCCGACGGCACAUCCCCCAUAUUGUCUGCAUGGUUGUAACUCCGGCAAUCUGGAGGCGUUCUGGACAGGGGUUCGAUUCCCCUCACCUCCACCUAAGCGCAUCGGGGUGUGCUUAGGUGGGGGUGUACCGGUUUCGACAGGGCGGGCGAAGGUGAGCAGGCAACCC
This 185-nucleotide transfer-messenger RNA is filed under the name Rhodocyclaceae bacterium. Its description in RNAcentral is "partial transfer-messenger RNA". It matches the Rfam family "Betaproteobacteria transfer-messenger RNA", at positions 1 to 189 of the family's 331-position model. From Rfam's summary of the family: Bacterial tmRNA, also known as 10Sa RNA or SsrA, is named for its dual tRNA and mRNA-like properties. Its role is to liberate the mRNA from a stalled ribosome. The record is from RNAcentral. Lineage: Bacteria; Pseudomonadati; Pseudomonadota; Betaproteobacteria; Rhodocyclales; Rhodocyclaceae.